AGAGAAUCGCUUGAACCCAGGCGGUAGAGGUUGGCAGUGAGCCGAGACAGCUCCACUGCACUCCAGCCUAGGCGACAGAG
RNAcentral lists this small nuclear RNA (80 nucleotides) under Homo sapiens (human). RNAcentral describes it as "partial ncRNA". The record is from RNAcentral. Lineage: Eukaryota; Metazoa; Chordata; Mammalia; Primates; Hominidae.